This 253-nucleotide ribosomal RNA is filed under the name uncultured bacterium. RNAcentral describes it as "partial 16S ribosomal RNA". It matches the Rfam family "Bacterial small subunit ribosomal RNA", at positions 524 to 776 of the family's 1533-position model. The record is from RNAcentral.
UACAGAGGGUGCGAGCGUUAAUCGGAAUUACUGGGCGUAAAGGGCGCGUAGGCGGAUGAAUAAGUUGGGUGUGAAAGUCCUGGGCUUAACCUGGGGAUUGCAUUCAAUACUGUUUGUCUGGAGUGAAGUAGAGGGUGGCGGAAUUUCCGGUGUAGCGGUGAAAUGCGUAGAUAUCGGAAAGAACACCAGUGGCGAAGGCGGCCACCUGGACUUUAACUGACGCUGAGGCGCGAAAGCGUGGGGAGCAAACAGG